RNAcentral lists this long non-coding RNA (2548 nucleotides) under Populus trichocarpa (black cottonwood). Its description in RNAcentral is "long non-coding RNA (PTRI_LNC001932)". Lineage: Eukaryota; Viridiplantae; Streptophyta; Magnoliopsida; Malpighiales; Salicaceae. The record is from RNAcentral.
AAAAAAAAAAACAUCUGAAACUAUUUAUAAGUUCUUCCAUAAUUUUCACAAAGUCGAAAAAUAACAACUUGAGAUUGUAUAUAGCUAAAAUAGUGUAUGAAAAUCCAAUGAUAGACAUAAAGAAAGUGUUGAAUAAUAUAAUGCCGGAUGUAUUGCUUUUUAAAUGAACAUGAACUAGCUUAUUAGAAUUUUUAUUGUACUUUUAUUUUUAACAUAUCAAAUUCAUAAAACAGUUCUUAAAAAACAAAGACACUAACACAUUGGACACUUCAAAUAUAUAUUUAAUAUUGUGAUGACAGUAAAUUUUUAAUUAAAAAUACUGUAAAUUUUUUUUCUUGGUUCGACAUUAAAACUAAAAAAUCAGUUUAAUACUUGCAAUUUCAUAAUCCGAGGACUGCAAUUACUAAUAUGGUUGUUCUGGCGUGUCUUUGAAUAAAUAAAAAACACCCGAAAGCUUGAUUUGAAAGAACUUCGGUCAGGGAUGAGCAUCAAUCACCACCAUCUGGUCACCGGAAAGGCAUAACCUAACCUUCCAAUACGUGGCAAUUCAUGAAACCUAUCAUGUGAAACUUCUGGAAGAACAAUACGUGGAAAAUUUGGUAUUUAAAUUAAAUUGCUUCGCCUAAAAAGGCAUUAAAUUGAUGCUAAUAUCAAGAAUAUUAUAUUGAAAAACACUAAUUAAUUACCAAAUACCAAAGACAAUGAGAGAGGACCACUUUUCUUCGAAUUAGUGGGAAAGGAUAGAUAGAUAAUUAUGAGCAUGUUUUAAUAAAACGGCACAUAAAAGAGAAGACACGCAGCAUUUACUGACUUGUAGAAUAACGACUUCAGUAGAUUACUACAUCUCCAGCUAAAACAAGGAAACCAUAGCAGCGCAGAUUUUAAACUGAAUGACACUGAACAACAAUUUAAUUGAGUGCUUUAUUUUUCUUUCAGGUGGAAUAGUAAACCAUUGAAGAACUUAUCACCUCAAAAUUGUGUGGCUCAAUUGAGAAUUGCGUGAGGACCUCCUGAGCUUUCUGUCGCCCUUUGAAGCCAUCAUCAUGAUCGUUGAAGCUCAGCAGCACAAGGUCUUUACAAACGUGGAUCGCCUACUGAGGACUACAAAUCCAUCUUCAACGCUACCAUACUAAGGCCAAAUCACUCACACCCAGAGAACCAAACAAGAAGAUCCAAUUGCAAAUCACAAGACUAGGUAAGAGCCACUUAAAUCCAGCCCCAAGGUCUUACAAGGAUAUCAUAGAGGACAAUAAGCUUAAUUAACAUACUUGCUACAAAAUAUGUAAUUGUAAAACGCUAGCAACAAUAGUAAAGCUAUCGAAACAGAAAUUCUGCGCAAGAUCGCAGUAAUGGAUUGACAAGCUAUAUCUAAAUAAACAAAACUCGUGCUCAUGUUUGCUCUGUAAAAUAAUAACAUGAGAUGCGUGCGUUGGAUAAUGAAAUAACUUGGAACGAAUGUUACCUGCAAUAACGGGGUGGUGCAAUGGAAUAAAAGCUUGAGUGCAAGGAAAGCAUACUGUUUAAUAUAGAAUAGAAGGUAAGCCCUGAUAUCAUAAUUUCCAGUGUCUUUGUUUUUUAUGUACUCUGUGAUGUGUGACUGCCAGUUUCAAGUGCUGAAACAUGUUUUAGUAGAAUUCUCUUAAUAGCCCAUAUUACCAAGAUGAAUAUUUGAUGGGAGCAGAUAGUGAUGAACAAUGAGAACCCAGAUUACAAAUUCAUGAUCUUGCUAACGACUGAUUCUACGUGAAGGGGCAUGUGACUACAUGAUUCUAAGUGCAGGAAAAUCGAAUUGAGGAUAUAGGAUAUAAGUAGGAGAAUACCUUCGGGUCACCGUCAUAAAUUGCAAUAUCGUGCCAUGGAUGAAUUGAUUGCUAGCUGGAGUCGGGGCCGCGCUUUAGCCAUGGAUUGUAAGGCAAAGAGAAGAGAAAGCGGGACACAGAGACUAGAGGGGAGAACCCGGGAAAUCCCCGUGCGAUCUCCCCUCCAAACACGAAAAUGAUAAUUUUAUUAAGAUAGUGGUUGACCUGCCAUGCAAGCGCACCUGUCAUGGCAAAGGUCGGAUGACAAAGAUAAUAAACAAGACCUUGGCCUCUUGGCCUUCUGGUCCCGAUAUAUAUCUUAUACAUCAUCCUCAUAAAUAAAUCGAACACCAACACCAGCAUCAUCUCCUUCCUGUCCUUCUCCACCAACAAAUUACACAUAACAUGCUACACCACAGCUCACAUAACCAAUCUUCAGCCAUGUCUACAUCCAGCAACACGUUCAGCGGAUUCUGUAACUGCUUACAACACCACCUGCAGAAAAAAUCUCAAAUCAUCUUCUGCUUUCCGCCAACAACCAAACUUAAAUAUUGCUAAAAUUCCUCAUGAUCGAAGAAAGCAUGGCCGGAAGGGACAGAUCCGCUUAAUAUUUGAGCUAUCGAAACAGAGCCGCGCCACAUCUACAGAACAAAAUUAGAUUUACGCGGAUUAAUGACUUGAUCAAUAACCAAUAGACAGAUAUUCAAUCAGAUCUAGCUUAGGAACGUAAACAAAACACUUAUACAUAC